RNAcentral lists this ribosomal RNA (251 nucleotides) under uncultured bacterium. RNAcentral describes it as "partial 16S ribosomal RNA". It matches the Rfam family "Bacterial small subunit ribosomal RNA", at positions 524 to 774 of the family's 1533-position model. The record is from RNAcentral.
UACGAAGGGGGCUAGCGUUGUUCGGAAUCACUGGGCGUAAAGCGCACGUAGGCGGACCAUUAAGUCAGGGGUGAAAGCCUGGAGCUCAACUCCAGAACUGCCUUUGAUACUGAUGGUCUCGAGUUCGGAAGAGGUUGGUGGAACUGCGAGUGUAGAGGUGAAAUUCGUAGAUAUUCGCAAGAACACCAGUGGCGAAGGCGGCCAACUGGUCCGGUACUGACGCUGAGGUGCGAAAGCGUGGGGAGCAAACA